CCUACGGGGUGCAGCAGUAGGGAAUCUUCCACAAUGGGCGCAAGCCUGAUGGAGCAACGCCGCGUGUGUGAUGAAGGGUUUCGGCUCGUAAAACACUGUUAUAAGAGAAGAACGGCACUGAGAGUAACUGUUCAGUGUGUGACGGUAUCUUACCAGAAAGGAACGGCUAAAUACGUGCCAGCAGCCGCGGUAAUACGUAUGUUCCAAGCGUUAUCCGGAUUUAUUGGGCGUAAAGCGAGCGCAGACGGUUAUUUAAGUCUGAAGUGAAAGCCCUCAGCUCAACUGAGGAAUUGCUUUGGAAACUGGAUGACUUGAGUGCAGUAGAGGAAAGUGGAACUCCAUGUGUAGCGGUGAAAUGCGUAGAUAUAUGGAAGAACACCAGUGGCGAAGGCGGCUUACUGGUCUGCAACUGACGCUGAGGCGCGAAAGCGUGGGGAGCAAACAGGAUUAGAUACCCCUGUAGUC
RNAcentral lists this ribosomal RNA (465 nucleotides) under uncultured bacterium. RNAcentral describes it as "bacterial SSU rRNA". It matches the Rfam family "Bacterial small subunit ribosomal RNA", at positions 338 to 795 of the family's 1533-position model. The record is from RNAcentral.